GACCCUGCUCUUUAUCGACCCAAACCAAUGACCCCCACCCCCUGAAUUCUAUAUUCUUCACCCCAACCCAAGCAGUGGAUGAGCCAUAAACUCGCCGGAAACACCAUGAAUACUGGCGAGAAUCCAUGAAGACAGUUUACCUCUGCACACAGUCAAAAACAAAAAUGUUCUGCUUUAUGCACUCCCAAGAGCAAGGUGGAAAGUUCUUGGAGGGAAGGAUGCCGGGGGUCUAUUUGGAAACAGCGUCUCUACCCAAGGGUAGGGGUAAGGUCUGUGUACACACUACCCUCCCCAGACCCUACUAAGUUGUUGUUGUUGUUGUUGUUUAUGCACUCCCAAUCUCUGAUGUUAGUACUAAAAACGAGUUUCAGUUGAACUAGUGUGAUGUACUUCUAUGUCGGAUGAGUUUAGAUCUUUCAAGUUCUAGAUUUUGUGACGUUUUGUGUCGAGUUUGGCCGGAGUUAGUUCUCUAGCGAGUCCUUUGUGUGUGUCUCUUUGACUGUUGCUCCAGUGUAGCUACUGCCACGUUAGUGGUGUCAUUUUAAAUCAAGGUUGUUCAUUCAAGGUGUCCGGGAAGAUUCUUGGUUCGUUGAGGUUUCGAUCGCAGCCCAAAAUCGGAUCCAGAUUUCUAUUUUUUUUCUCUAAAUCAUAUAAGGUCUGAUUCUCAAGGCUUCCUAAAUGUUUACUGGUUGAUUUGGCUUAAUAGCAUUCUUAGCAUUUUAUAUAUUGUUCAUUGCUGUGUUUUAAUGACUUCCUGAUAUUGGCUUCCCCCUUUGUUCUUGUUGUUCAAGUUUAAUACGUUUGAAGUACUACCUCAUCGCUUUGUUUGGCAGAAUGUGAUGUUAUUUCAUUUGUUAAUUGGCUUCAUGUGUUAC
RNAcentral lists this long non-coding RNA (875 nucleotides) under Nicotiana benthamiana. RNAcentral describes it as "long non-coding RNA (NBEN_LNC032321)". Lineage: Eukaryota; Viridiplantae; Streptophyta; Magnoliopsida; Solanales; Solanaceae. The record is from RNAcentral.